CCGGGAUUGGGCUUUAUAUAGACCAAUCCUCUGUCCAGAAGUGGGGGGGGGGGCAUGGUCCCUCCCUAACACGGGAUUGGGCCAAUUUAAGGGCAAUCCCCCACCAGGAAAUAGGGAGCAUGGUCCCUCCCCAGCACAAGAUUGGUCCAUUUGAGACCAAUCCCACACCAGGAAGUAGGAAGGUGGGACCCCAGGGGCAUGCUGGGGGCUGCAUUCCCCCCACCCCCAGAAUAUUUUAAAACCCACAAGGUCAGCAGGUGAGGUCUAUGACACCAGCGUGGGGACCAGCCCAGAGUGAACAAGGUGACAGUACCAGCUGAGGCUACUGGAGGUGACUACGACAGCAAAGGCAGAAGCUUUGGGAGCCCUCAGCCCAGAGAUGGUUGGACAGACUUGACCUCAGUUCGAGACAGAGGCCAGUCUUAUGAACACCAGGAGGCAUGAAGGACAAGAGGCAUGAAGGAAUAAUCUAUGUGCAAACAAGGAGGCAGGAGUUGGAAUGGAGACUUCCACUGUAUAUCCAUUGGAAAUGGAUGAGAAUAAGACUGGUCCUUAGGCAACAGACACAGACUUCAUCGCCAGACCUGUAUGCAAAGCCUUGUCAGAGUGGCAGCACUUUCCAGGGAUGGUGCUCUGGUGGCAUAAGCUUUCGGUUGUUAACAGCAACUUUAUGGAAUAACAGACAGCUCAAGAUACUUCCUUGACAGGACAGAAAUGGAGUUCAUUCUGUGUGAUUUUACACCAACAAGAAUCUGGUACAUAGACCAUAUUUUCAUAGGUUUUCUUUCAGACAGAUUUAAAAAUUAAAAGCAUUGCUUUAUGUGCUGAGUCUAGCCUUUUGAUUAAUGGAGAAGUUGGCAUCUCUGUUAACAACCAGUCUUGGAAUCCUUGGAGUGGGUCCACUUUUUGAAGCAAUGUCCACCUGCUGGUAAAAAAAAAAAGAUUAUUCUAACCAAAACCAAUUAAGAUGAGCCUUAAAAUAGAAAGUUAUGACUGUAGAUGCUAAGCAGAUAAAGACAUGUUAUCCAGACUUCAUUGACCUAUCUCC
This 1048-nucleotide long non-coding RNA is filed under the name Monodelphis domestica (gray short-tailed opossum). RNAcentral describes it as "lncRNA (ENSMODG00000030211.2)". Lineage: Eukaryota; Metazoa; Chordata; Mammalia; Didelphimorphia; Didelphidae. The record is from RNAcentral.